GGGGAGGUAGGCGGCGACGGUCACGUGGGAGGGGCGUCCGAAGGUGCCGGCUCGCUCGCGCCUGGCUGGGCCGGGCUCCCGGGGACCCAGGCCUCCCCGGCCUCGCUGCUCCGUCGCCCCCGCGGGUACGGCCCACGCAGCCCGCCCGCCCCGCUGGAGAUCAGAGCCCGGAGACCGGGGCUGAGUGCCCAGCCUGGCAGGUUUUAUCACGUGUCUGACGACUCCGCUGACGGUUCUAGGGAAGCAGAUGAUUGAUGAUUGCUGUGCUUAAAAGAACAGAGCGAUAUUGAGACAUCCUAGGACUGAAAGAAAGGCAAAGGCGAAGACUCAAUGAGUCUUUCCGCACCACCACCCCCGCCCCGUUUGCCUCAGGCUUUCUCAGCUGCUUCUGAAUUGGAAAAAUGGAAAAGAAUUUGGAGGCUGCUAAACCAAAGUGAAGGUCUUACUACCUGUGAAAUUAAAGGAACGCCUCGAUUCUUUUAACUCGAGAUGUUCACAAGAACUUUAUUGUUGCCCUGGCCUCUCCUCUAAGCUGAUGUUCAGAGGGUCUGGGGUGUGUUCCAAGGAUCUCCGAAUUAUUCGGCAAGUUGCUGCCAGGAAUUCUAGGGUUAGGAGGACAAGCAAGAGAAAAGUCUUUUUUUUUUUUUUUUUUUUUUUUUUUUUUUUUUUUUUUUUUUUUUGCCAGGGUUAUACUAAAGGACAAGUUUGGAAAGUUGUUAAUAGCUCAGAUAGUUUUCAUUCUGCUGGACCAGGUGUGGAGAGCGCAGGGAGAGAGAAGCACACUCCCUUUUGUCUAAGCAGAGUGGAACAUACUCUGGGUCAGGAGCACUGUUGUCAACCAGAAGAUUCCCCCAUUUCCCUUCUCGUGUUAGGGGUCACUCAACGGGACAAAUGUUAACUGACUAAAUGCCACAGAGCUCAUUGGCCCAGGCUACUGUACCCAAGCCCUAGUCUUACCCUUCUCUACUCUUCCUCAAUUCCCCAUAUUUUCUCAUUGCUCAGCAAAAUCUCUUUUGUUUUCAUUUUCUGUGCCUCCAACAUUCUUGAUGUAGCUGAAAGCUGCUUAUCCCCCCUUUAUCUCCUUUCUUCCCCUCUGCUCAGUCUAUUCCCGGGAGGUUGCUGUAAUUUAGAUUAAUAAGUUUGGAAAGAAUAAUUGGGCAAGCUUGCUAUGUUUGUCCAUUUUCCUCCAGAAAGGAAACUGCAUGAAGGAAGGUUUAUGGUUUAGUAACUGUUGCCAGGCGGGUAAGAAUUAAGAGGAAGAUUCAAGCAAUAACAUAUUUCACUAUUGUUGCUACCACUAUUGUUAAUUUUCAUUAGCUAACUCAUAAUAUAUGUCACUGUAUUGGAGGAAAAUUAUGUUCAUCACCUUAACAUUUCCAAGAUACACACUUUCCAAAUAUAAACUGAGGGAAUUAGACUAGAUCUCUCAAAACCCAAAUGACUUUAUAUCGAUCAAAAGAUUUUAUUUUGGGAGCUGGGGAUUUGGCUCAGCUGCACAAGGGUCUUCCUGGCAAAUGCAAGAUCAUGAGUCCCAUACCCAGUACCAAAAUAUUUUUUUAAAAAAACAAAAAACAGAUUUUACUUUUUUCUGACAAUUCACAUCUGCUGCCAUUAGAAAAUCCUGUUGGCUCUGCCUGAAAAACAUAACCACAGUGGAGUCACUUCUCAUCAUCUCCCCCGCCCUCCUUCAAGCCAAACUUGUCUAAUCCCAGAAGAAGAAGGCCUACAUCCCUCUUCUCUGUUGGUGUCCCUUCCCAUCUGUCUUACUCAUGCAGCAGACAGAAUGAUCAUUUCAAAAUUAAAUCAGAUCACUUCUCUAUUUAAAAUCUUGCAGGGACACCCUGUCACUCAGAGUGAAAGUUGUCUUUAUAAUGCAAACAAGGCCCUGGAGGAUAAGUCUGUUGCCAUUUCUGACCUCAAUUCAUGCUCCUCUGCUUCUUACUCUGUUCCAACCACAUUGUCCCCCUGGACAGUCCAAGUGUGCUGGCCCCUCAGGACACUUAUUUGCAUUGGCUGUUCCUCCUGCCUUUAGGCUGGGAUGCUCUUCCUGCAGAUGUUGCUCCUUUUCUUUCUUGAAUUUGGUAUUCAAUCUCUCUCUCUCAUUAGGCCUGCUCUGUCAGUCUUACCUAAAUGCAUGCAUCCUCCUUACACACUUUCCCCUUACACUGAUUUUUUUUCAUUAAGAAAUGAAGGUCAUCUAACAUAACUGCGCCAUUUACUGAGCAACUGUGUUUGUGGUUGGGUCUCCUAGAUUUUAACUUCCAUGGGAUCAGAGAUUUUUUUUCUGUCUCCUAUUCUGGACUAUAUCCCAAGUGCCUAGCAUAGAAUUCAACAUAUAUUAUACUCUUAAGAUUGUCAGCUGAUUUACUGAAUGAAAAAACCAUAAGCAGAGUUGCAUUUGAACCACUGGAAAGACUAGAUGAACCCAGCCAACAGCUUUGACCUGAACGGAAUUACCAUCAAGUUCCACCGAUGCACUCUUUAACACACUUGCUAUGCAGCAUAAAGGGAAAGAAUGAUUUUUUUCCCACCACAUACCCACUUAUCAGAGGAAUGUUUUGAAAUAAACGACAUGGAGGAAGAAUUUUAAUUUUCCAGGAGAAAGCAUUGCAUUAAGUUGAGGCUUUUUAUUAUGUGACAGGAUUGUAAGUGACAAGGGUCAAGUACAAAGAUGAGAACAGGGUUGACAGUAUUAUGCCACCCCUACUGCUACACUCGCAUUUUAUAGAAUCCUGGCUUUAAAAGUGGUAUCAGGCAGGAAGAAGACAAAAAAAUUGAUUUUGGAAUUCUUGCCCUAAAUAACAAAUUUUUAAGAAAUACCUUCUUUCUUACAGCUGACUUUCAAAUAUUUACAACACAGUAUGCUCAUUAAUAAAUUAUUCUCCACUUUUCCAUCUUUUCAUCCAUUUUGUGGUCAUCUUCCUGCUAAUUAAAACUUCUGUUCCCUCUUCAGAAGCCUGGCAAAGAAAAAGGAGGAUUAAAAACUAAGAUUUGUCUUUAUGGCAAAUUUAUUCCUGUUUUUUACCCAUUAAGAUGUUUAAAUUCAGAUUUAGAGCACUUCUAAAAUUAUUCAACUUUUAAGUGUUGUAAACUUCUCCAGUAAAUGGCGAAUUAAUUGAGCACAUGGAUAGUGUUUAAGUAUCAAAAAAAUACUUUUUCCUGCCCUUUUGACCAUGAGACAACACCACUAGAGAGUGUUGAAAGUUUAGCCUUGACCUCACUGCCUAAAAUUUAGAAAAUACUGGGCAAGUGAUUUGAUGACACUGAGCCUCUGUUUCCUCAACCCUAAAAGAUAUUCAUAUUACCUCCCUUAUUUUGCUGUGUUGUGAAAAUAUUUUAAUCCAGUGUGUAUCAAUCAGUUUUCCAUCACUAUUAACAAAUACCUGAGAUAAUCAACUUAGAAAAUUUUGAAAUUCUCAAGAAUUUUUUCAAAGCAUGGUAGUUUGACCUUAAGUAUCCCAUAAGCCCAUGUGUAUAAAAACAAUGGGUCUGCCCAAUCAUGAACUAAAAUCUCCCAAAUCUGUGACCCAUUGCAAGGUCUGGGAAGGAGCAGAAGCAAGAGGUGGGGCCUAGUGGGAAAUACGCUGGUCCUCAGGGUCGUGCCCUGGAAGAGUGGAACCCAGCCCCUUCCUCCUUUUUGCAUUCUGCCAAGUGGAGAACAGUUUUGCUAUGCCAUGGUGUGCAUCUGUCUGUCCCCUUUCCAGUUCUUAAGUGUAGAGUUUUGAAUACUUCAAAUGCGGUAGCCAUGAGGGUCCAUCCGACAACCACUUUUGAUGUUUGAUGAUCCUGUUUCAUCUGUUGAUACAGUCCCCAGAUUGACAAAUGAAGGUCAUAUUAAGGCAUUGUAUUGUUCAGCAAAGCAAUUCACGGGGUUCUUCCAUGUUCACUUUGCAAAUAUGAUGGUAAAAUAAACAUUUGAGUAACAGUUUAUUGGACUCAAGCUGGUAACGCUAACAUAAAGAAUGCUGGUAAAGACACCCUGAAAAUGAGGACCUCAUGUGGAAGAUUCAGAGUUUUACUCUCAGAAUUUUCCUAUUCUAACUGAGCCUGAAAACAGGGACUCAGGAACUAAAGGGAGUAACCAACCUCAUCAAAUUUAUAAAUGGCACAAAACUAUGAGACAUAGCUAAUGCAUUGGAUAAUGGCAUGGGUACCCAUGGAGAUCUGGGAUUAACAAGUAAAAUGAAAUUCAGCUGGAUACAUGUUAAGUCUCCAAUUAAAUGGAUGUAACUGUCACAGUGUUGGCCUCUUCACAAUUCACAUGUUGAAGUCCUAACCCCCAAAGUAAUGAUACAAGGAGAUGAGGCUUUGGGGACAUGAUUGAUCACAGGUGAGGAGACCUUGUGAAUGGAAUUAAUUUCUUUGUAAAAGAAGCCUAAGGGAUCUUUUUCAGCCCUUUUGCAAUAUGAAGUUACAGUGAGAACACUGUCAUCACAAGGCAACAAGCCCUCGCCAGACUCUGAAUCUGCUAGCACCUUUAUUUGGGACUUCCCAGUUCUCACAAGGCGAUAAAUAAAUGUCUGGUUUUUAUAGACUA
Molecule: long non-coding RNA, 4537 nt
Organism: Cavia porcellus (domestic guinea pig)
Lineage: Eukaryota; Metazoa; Chordata; Mammalia; Rodentia; Caviidae
Exons: 2
Source: RefSeq, a predicted model, not a curated record